This 524-nucleotide long non-coding RNA is filed under the name Mytilus galloprovincialis (Mediterranean mussel). The record is from RNAcentral. Lineage: Eukaryota; Metazoa; Mollusca; Bivalvia; Mytilida; Mytilidae.
GUACAUCAAACAUACAACAGAUAUGCCUUCACACCAGGUUUAUAAUCAUGGUUCAGAACUGACUUUGUAUUUUUUGAAUACACAAGAAUCUGGUCAGCUGACAUGCACAGCACAAAAUGAAUUCGGUGAAGACCACAUUUCCGUUUCCGUGAUCGUAAGAAGUCGUAAGUACAGACCAUGUUUUCUUUACGUUUUAAGCUAAGUUCGGAAUUAAAUCUAUUAUUAAACGUAUAAAUUUGCAUAUCAGCAGUAACAAAAUAACCUCAACACGUCACGAAAACCAAAAAGAGAAACCGUAAAGAAUUAUUUAAAUCAGAAGCUUGACAUCACACAGAUUAUGCUUAAUAACCUUUUUAUUACUCAAAACCAAACCAGAUCAUCAGUUGAUCAAUUAAAGCGAUACGAGGAUCUGUAUUUCAAUUAGACAAAUGCGACAAUUUAAUAGUAAUUUCAUUUUCUUUUAGCGGAUCCGGUUGGUUAACAGAAGAAGAAGUUGCAACAUAUUGAAUUAAAUACCAAUAAAG